AAAUGUUUGGAAUGGUUGGAUACAAAACCAGUUGGGUCGAUUUUAUAUGUCAAUUUCGGAAGCGUCACAGUGAUGACAAACCAACAGAUGAUUGAGUUUGCAUGGGGACUCUGUAAUAGCAAUAAAGAAUUCCUAUGGAUCAUCAGACCUGAUGUUGUGAGAGGCGAAACUGCUGUAUUGCCAGAAGAUUUCUUGGAGAUGACAAAAGGGACAAGUAUGAUGACUAGUUGGUGCUCACAGGAAGAUGUCCUUUCACAUCCAGCCAUUGGUGGAUUUCUAACUCAUUGUGGUUGGAAUUCGACAUUGGAAAGCAUUUACUGUGGUGUUCCGAUGUUGUGUUGGCCCUUCUUUGCCGAACAACCAACCAACUGCCGGUAUUCGUGCAAGGAAUGGGGUGUUGGCUUGGAGAUAGACAAGGACGUGAAGCGAGCUCAAGUAACAAGUCUAAUCAUUGAGCUAAUGGAUGGAGAAAAAGGCAAUAGGAUGCGGAGAGAAGCACAGGGAUGGAAAGCCAAAGCUAUUAAAGCAACUCAAAAAGGUGGGACUUCAUUCAUCAAAAUGGAAAAGCUUCUUAAUGUCAUCUGCUGAUCACCUAAUGCAUCUUCAUUCUUCAUUUUUUAAACUUGCUUCUCCCUAUUACAUAAUACUUUUAACAGAAAAGAAUAAAAUUCUAUUUACCAAAAUACCAUUUCAGGCAUAUGAUCCGCGUGCCUCUAAACAAGUGGUGCUCUGAUAUGAACCUUGAUCACAGUUGGACUCAAUAUUAAAAUCAAGUGAACCUGAUAGUCGAGGGUGCUUUAGAUCAUCUGGAAGUUUUCUCUCUAGAUAUCCAAAGCAGAUAGCGACGGGAUCAAUCCCUGAUAUCGACUUUUAGCACUAGUAGGAAAUUCGAUGUUAAUCGUUCCAGUAGAGAGCUCGUUCCGGCAGGUUGAAGGACGGCCGAUUGCAGAUUCAGGCAUUCCGUUAUGGUGAGAAUGAGAUGACGGAGGUGUAGCAGGAAUUAUGGAGGAGAUGCUUAGGAUGUACAAUUUUAUGAGGAUUGUAUUCAAUAAUUGAUUUUUCAAUAAAAUUCUUACUACAUUUAUAAUAAAAGCCUUUAUGAAAUUUAACUAGAAAGCAGAGACUACUAAAUAAUUAUCCCAGUUUAUUCAAAAAAUAAAUAAUUAUCCCAAAACGCGAUCUGGUUCAACCAGCUAAAUCAGAACCAAUUCCGUAGUCACUCAUCCAAGCGGGCUUCCGACUGAUCCGGCUUGGUUUUGGAGGAUUAUCAAGACAGGGUUCGACGUCCACCAACGAUCUUGAAUCGUUGCCGUUGCCCCCUUCUUCAAUAUCGCCUGAACCCUCAUCUCUGGUGAUCGCAACAAUGUCUACUUAGGGUUAUAUUUACAGCCUCCACUGGGGAUUCUCCUUCUCUAUAAUGAGGAAUUUCAGCAGAUUCCUUCCCAUAUAGAGCCAUAAAGGGUGUCAUGCCCAAAGAUGGAUGGUAACUUGAAUUAUACUAUAAUAUUUCAGACCAUGGUAACAUUUUCAGCCCGUUUCUAGGAAAUUCAUAGCAGUAGGACCUCAAAUACAUUUUAAGGUUCUGUUAACCACUUCAGUUUGCCCAUCAGAUAUAUGCAGAAGAGAAAUUAAGCUUCGUACCACUGAGCUUGUGCAAUUCUGUUUGAAUGUAUAUAAUUAGUUUAAAGUGAUAAAUGGUUAGUUAUUUUAAAUCAAUUAGUUAUUGAUUUUUUAAUUAAUUUAAUUUAAUUAAGGUUUUAAUUAUGUUAUUUAAAUAAUUUUGUUUUAGGUUGGAUUGUCUUCGCCGCCGGUCAUCGAUCUCCCUGCCGAACUGUUUUUCCGCUGGUCAUCUCCCGGCCGGUGUUUUGAAGGUUUAUAAUUUUUAAAUUUAUGUGUUAUAUGUGUUAUAUGUAUGUUGUGUGUUGAUAUUUUUUGUAUUAUAUAUGUUGAUAUUUGUUGUAGGGUUUGCGGAUUUGGAAUUUAGGAUUUGUGGAUUUAUCGAAAGAUAUUUUGCGCUUUAUCUAUCAAGGUAAUGUUUUUAUUUAUUUUGAAUUAUUUCAUAUGAUAGUUAUUAAUUAGUUAAUAUAAUUUGCAUGUUUGAAAUUGGAAAAUGAAAUGUAUGUUAUUUGUGUAUUUUUAAAAUGAAUGUAAUAAUUUUAAUUAAUAUCAUGGAAUGAAUGAUAAUAAAAUGAAUUGAUAAAUUUAUAAAAUGAAAUACUUAUUUUGGUUUGCGUGACGAUGGGUUGACCUGAUCGUGAUCGAUAAGUAAUUAAGUGUAAAUCGGUCAUUUUUCACAUUCAAUUAUGUUUGAAUGAUCAAAUCUGUUUGUCUUAAAUAUCGAUGCAACAGACAAGGUUAAUAACCAUCCUAUUUUGAUUCAUUACAAAAGUGGAAAGGUAAAUUGGCUACAAGUUAGGAUUUUAAUAAAAGUAUUUUCGCAUCUUUUUUAAGGCCUUGGUGAUCUUAUUACUGACUCCAUCCAGGUUUUUUCUUUCAAAAUGCAGCAUCGAACUGGAUGUAUGAUUGCAAGUUACAGGAAAAUAAGGAACUGGGAUCUCUCCUGCGUGAUUGAUGAAUAUUGACUUUAUUCUGCUCCCAAAGAAAGAGUAGCUGAUUUGAUAUUUAUUCUGCUCCCAAAGAAAGCUGGUUUGAACGCAAAUGGUUCAUAAACGCGUGUCCAUAGAAUACGUCAACAAAAUUUAUCAUAGAUUCUAUUGGUACCAUGGACCGCGGACCGCGGCCCAUGGACCGAAUCGGACCAGCCGGCCCAGACGGACGGACGGGCGGGCAGACGACGGACGGGCGACGGACGGACGAGCGAAAGCGACGGACGACGGACGGACGAAAGGGGGGCGGACGGCCCCAGGCCCCCGGGCCUGCCAAGGAAGGGGGGAGUACUGUUGGUACCAUGGACCGCGGACCGCGGCCCAUGGACCGAAUCGGACCAGCCGGCCCAGACGGACGGACGGGCGGGCGGACGACGAACGGCCCAGGGACCGAAUCGGACCAGCCGGCCCAGACGGACGGACGGGCGGGCGGACGGACGGACGGAUGGGCCCGACCGUACGAGCCCACGAGGCCCAAUGACAACAAGUGAAGGCUAUAAAUACCUCCCCUGGUCCAACUGGGGAGGGGGUUGACAAUACUGGAGAGUGAAUACUUGGGAGAGUUGAGGGUGUGAGCUUACACCGACGAGCCCACACACCAACAGUAUAGUUUUAGUUUUAGUGCUAAAUAAAAACAAGGCUAAUUGAAACAUUAUACACAUUUUUUUAAAUACAUAUGUAUGAGGUUUGAUAUUUUUUUCGAUUUUAAAACAUUUUGUGUUUUCUAAAACACUUUUAUGUAUCACUAGUAAGGGUACUAACAAUUAUUUAAUAAAAUAAUUGAAACCAAAUUAAUUAAAUAAUAAUUAUAUUAAUAAAAAAAAAUUUAAUUAAUUAAAUUUUUUAAUAAAAUUAUAAAAAAUUUAUGGGGACUAGGGUUAGGGAACAAAAAAAAUUUGCGAGGAAUAUUUUACCGGCGUCUAAGUCGCCAGGAAGACCAACAAUUUGUUCUUAGGAAAUUUAUACCGGCGGCCCGGCCGCCAGUAUUAUUACAUUAGUAAUCAGAAUCAGCAAAUCUUUACAGACGGCCGGGCCGCCAGAAUAAUACAUUUUUGACGACAUCAUUACUACCGCUGACAUAUUGGCGGCCGGGCCGCCAGAACUACAUCUGCUUGACAAACUAUUGUUUCUACUCCAACAAAUCAAAGUCCUCCUUUUCUUCCAACGUACUCCACCCUCUCUCACUCAUAACGUUAUAUGUCAAAUUUGUGCUCGUGUUGGUCACACUGCUAAAACCUGUCCAGAUCGUCAAAGUUUUGCCUAAACUGCCGCAUGUAGUUUAGCUGAUGCAUGGAAUGUCUUCGGUUUCUUUUAAUGAUCGUCUGUGGUGCCUUGAUUCUGGUGACACACCAUAUGACACCAGCCCAAUCUGCAUUCACACAAACUCGACAAUAUAAUGGUAUAUAUAUAUGGAUUCAAUUAUUAUUGGUAAUGACACUCGUUUAUCAAUUAAGUGCAUUGGCACUGUUUCACUCUCAACACCUAAGGGUCGGAUACUUCUUCAUGACGUUCUAUAUGUACCUGGUCUUUGCAAAUCUCUUUCUAUACGAUGUCUAUCUAAAGAUUUACAAUGCUUUCUUGUUUAUGACCAUCUACAUGCGUGGAUAAGCAUCUUUAGAGGAAACAAUUCUACGUGGCAAUAACUCCGGCGGGUUGUAUCAUCUUUAGAGGCACCAUCCUAGUGUUCCAAAAAUGUUUAUUGGUGUUAGGGCCUCUCCGGUAAUUUGGCACCACAAUUUAGGCCACACUUUUGAAGCUACUUUGUCUACGCUUCUUCCUACUCUUUGUUACAAGGUGAAAGAUUAAUUUAAUCAGAGUGAUUCAUCUUACUAACGUGGUUGCCUCAGAUCCGUGUUAGUGACGGAUAUCCGAGACCGAGAGCAACGGGAUACACCCCUGAAAUUGAGGCUUAGCCUCCCCUCUUCACAAUUAAGUUCAGAGAAACAAGUGCUCAAUACGGCAAGUGGUACAGGCGCCUGCAGAUCGUCCCACAGCUCGUUGAUCGCGUCUAUUUCAGCAAUUCCGAUAAUAGACGCAAGAUUUGGGGCAUAGGAUGAUGAUGAAAUGUACUCGGCGUUUUGGCCGGAGGUGAUCGAGAGAGGUGUUGGAUGGAAGGUGACAAGAUUGGAGUUUAGGAAUUUGAUACGUUUUCAUUCAUGUAAAUGAAAUUAUAUAUGUUUGGUACAAAUUGUAAAACUUAAAUUAUUUGGGGUCUCUUAUGCAAUAAUUUAAAUAAAAGAGAAUGCAAUAAGCCAACAACUUUAAUAAUUUUUUCACGACGGAAGUCGUGAAAUCCCUAAGCCAUCCCGGUUUACGGCUUGCUCUUCUCGGUCCGCGACUUGUCUCCGGUCCAGGUUCGUUCAACGGUUGCGGAUCGUCAUCUUCCUCGUCGUACCCAAUUUUAGAGAUUAACGUUUCCCUUAAUGCCUUGGCAUCACUGCUCACCGCCUGUAGGUCAAUUUCUCCAUCCGGCCACGUAAUAUCGCCAUCCCCUUGAGGCUCGACAUCGUCCCUGAUGUUGAUUGAAGGAAAGGAUAUCUUCAAGUCGUCGUUGAACUCCCAAGAAGCAUCUUCCGGCACUGCACCGUUCCACACGAUGAGUGACUGAUUUCUUUGUUCUCCCCUUGUAAUAUUUUUCUCCUUUAAUAUAGCAGUUGGGUAAAUUAGUGGCUUGUUUUCUACUGCAAUAAUUGGCUGAAUUUGAUUGCUGUUGACAGGAGCUUGACCAAAUAAUUUUUUUAAUUUGGAAACAUGAAAGGUAGGAUGGAUUUUACUGUCCUCUGUAAUUGCAAUCUGUAAGCGACCUCAUUCACCUUCCUUUCAAUUUUAUAAGGCCCAAAAUAACGUUUACAGAAUUUGUGAUGCAUUCGAUUUGCCACCGAUUGUUGUCGAUAUGGUUUUAAUUGAACAAGUACCCAGUCCCCCACUUUGAAUUCUAUUUCUGUCCUCUUUUUAUCUGCUUGAAUUUUCAUUCUUGUUUGCGCUAACAGUAGGUUUUUCUUGAUUGAGGCUAGUGUGUCCUCUCUAAUCUGUAAUUCUUCAUCUACUGCUUGUAUGGUGGACUGACCUUCACUAUAAUGAGGAAUUUCAGUUGCCUCUUUACCAUAUAGGACCUUAAAUGGUGUAGCUCCCAAUGAUGAGUGAUAUCCGGAAUUGUACCACAAUUCAGCCCAAGGCAACAAUUUUAACCAUUUAAUAGGAUUCUCAUGACAAUAGGAUCUCAAGUACAUCUCCAACGUUAUGUUUACUACCUCAGUUUGACCAUUUGAUUGUGGAUGGUAUGCUGAUGAAAAAUUCAAUUUAGUGCCGCUGAGAUGGUUCAGCUCUUUCCAGAAUUUAGAAGUAAAAAUUCUGUCUCUAUCUGACACAAUAGAACUUGGAAUGCCGUGCAACUUGACUAUAUCCUUGACAAACGUUACCGCUACCAUGGAAGUAUUAAAAUUUGAUGGAAGAGGACUGAAAUGAGCGUAUUUAGAUAAUCUAUCUACUACCACUAUAACCACAGAUUUACCUUUGACUUUGGGAAGGUCAUUGAUGAAAUCCAUACUUAUAUCUUGCCAAACACUAGAAGGAAUUGGAAAAGACAUUAACAGUCCAGCAACUUUAGAAUUCAUCGGUUUAAUUUGUUGGCAGAUGAUACAUUCUCUGACAUAGAUUUUGAUGUCAACUCCCAUAUUUGGCCAAAAGAAGUAUUUUGCUACUCUUUUCCAUGUCUUGUGAACUCCAGAAUGGCCUCCUAACUGAGAGUCAUGAAAUUCAUACAUUAUUUUCUUAAUAAGUGGUGAGUGUGAGGAUAUGUAAUAUCUAUCCUUGAAAAGUAAUAUCCCAUUCCUGACCAUGAAUCCUUCUGCUCCUUUGUCCUUAUCAGCAUAAUUAGUCAUUAAUUUCUGAAUGUCCAGAUUCAUUUUGUUUUCUUCUUUGAGUUCCUCCAACAAUGAAUAUAUAGGUUUAGAGAUUGCUAGUAGUGAUCCCGAUGUUCCCACUGAAUUUGAAGAAAAUAAUACUUCUUCCUCACUUUCAAACCUUCUAGAAAGGGCAUCUGCUACUGUGUUUUCUUUCCCCGGCUUGUAUACAAUAGUAAAAUCGAAACCCAAUAAUUUGCAGAGAAAGACUUGUUGUUCUGGGGUUUGAAUAGUCUGUGUUAGUAGGUUUUUAAGACUUUUGUGAUCAGUUUUAAUCACAAAAUGGGAUCCCGAUAAAUAAUGUCGCCAUUUACUCACUGCUUGAGUAAUAGCAUACAUUUCCUUUACAUAUAUAGAUGCAGCCAUGAUCCUACCAGAUAGUUUACAACUGAAGUAACUUAUAGGGUGUGAUUUCUGACUUAGGACAGCUCCAACCCCAUUUCUACAAGCAUCUGUUUCUACUGUGAAUUCAGUGUCGAAGUCUGGAAAUAUCAGCACAGGUGCAGAAACCAUUGCAGAUUUUAAUUUUUCAAAACUUGAAGUUCAUCAUUCCAGUGGAAGUUAUCUUUCUUUAAAAGGUCUGUCAUAGGAGCAGCUAUAGAUGCAUAACCUUUGACAAAUCUUCUAUAAUACCCGGUUAAUCCCAAAAAGCCUCUUAGCAAUUUCAGUGUCUUAGGGAUAGGCCAUUCAACCAUUGCCUUAACUUUUUCCGGGUCUGGAUGAACACCGUCUACUGCAAUUAUGUGGUCCAGAAAAGUCAUGGAGUCCUUCCCAAAAGAACAUUUAGAGAGUUUAGCAAUAAGUUUGUUUGACCUGAGCAACUCAAAUACCUUUCUUAGGUGUGCAAUGUGGUCUUCUAUUGAAGCACUAUAUACCAAUAUAUCAUCAAAAAAUACCAUCACAAACUUUCUCAAAUAGUUAGAGAAAACAGAAUUCAUAAUUGAUUGGAAUGUUGCUGGUGCGUUGGUCAACCCAAAAGGCAUUACCAAGAAUUCAAAAUGCCCUUGAUGUGUUCUAAAUGCUGUUUUUUCUUUGUCAUUGGGGUUCACUCUGAUUUGAUGAAGUCCAGAUCGCAGAUCUAGCUUUGAAUAAAUUGCAGAACCCUUCAACUCUCCUAAUAACUCAUCUACAGUAGGUAUUGAGUACUUGUCUUUAAUGGUCAAUGCAUUUAAGGCUCUGUAGUCGACGCAUAGCCUAUAGUCACCAUCCUUUUUCUUAAUUAGUAGAACAGGGGAAGAGUAUGGGCUUGAGCUAGAUUUUAUGAUCCCUUGUGACAACAUUUCAGAAAUUAGUUUUUCAAUUUCAGAUUUUUGAAAUUGGGGAUAUCUAUAAGGCCUAACACUGAUUGGUUUGGCAUCUGGUUCUAAAUGUAUUGAGUGAUCUUUUUCUCUUUGAGGUGGUAAUCCAUAAGGAUCCUCAAAUAAAUCGCAGUAUUCCUGGAUCACAUCUGUAAUAUCUGGAAUUGAGGUGUCCAGUACAGCAUGGGUUUCACAAUUAUCAAUUUUAUCCAGAUAACAUAAAUAUGCUUCUUUGGUAGAGGCCAUUAGACACUUUAGCUGACCAGUAGUCACAGGCUCUUCAGAUACCCAAGGCACGCCAAUCCAUAUAAUUUUCUUCCCGGAUAAGUUGAAUUCCAUGCUAGCCUUGUCAAAAUCAAAAGUGACAGGUCCAAAGGUUUUCAAAGCCUGUACUCCUACUACCAUGUUACAACCAGACAUAUGGAUUAGAAAAAUAUCCAUGAUAAUGGUGACAUCUUGGAUUUUUAUUUCCACAUCUUUGCACAUUUUGUUGCAAGUCGAUUUCUCUCCACUACCAGUAGACACCUGGAACGGCACAAUCAUUUGAAUGGUCAAUUUUAGAGCCACUGCCACAUCCACUUGCAUAAAAUUAUGACUAGACCCAGAAUCAAUCAAUACACUAACAUAUUGGCAUUUAAUAAACCCCAUAACUCUGAUAGUACUCGAACUGAUGUUACCUUCAAAGGCAAUCCUGUCUUUCACUCCUGUCUCUUGAUACAGUAUCCACCACCAUUUCUUCAUUAUAUGCUUCUAUUUCAUGUUGUUCCUCAAGUUCCACCAAUUCAGCCUCAUCUGCAGACAAUCUGAAUAAUUUCCCUUUUCUGCCCACACAGACGCUGUUAUGAUUUGCACUAAAUUUCUCAUCACAGUUGAAGCAGUGGCCUUUGCUUCUUCUUUCAGCCCUCUAUGCAGGUGACAAUCUUUUUGUAGUCUGUACUACAUCAGAUAUAGUCUUUUGUGAAGCUGGUACCAUUGGAUUGUUACUGACAUCCACCUUGUUUUGUUGGUCGGCAGAAUUUGAGAUGAAUCUGGUUUGUUUGGGAAAAUAGAUUUUGUAAGCAGAUCUGCCCCCUUUUUUGGAUUCUAUCAUAAGAGAUAAAUCAAAAGCUUCAUGAAUAUCCGUAAGUUUCCUUAUCAUCACUUCAGAUUGUAAUUCUUCUUUCAAUCCUGAGAUAUACAUUUCUAGAAUGAAAUGUUCAGGUAAACCAAGCAUUCUAGUGCAUAAUUCCUCAAAUUGCCCUUGGUAUUCAGCCAUAGAUCCUUCUUGUGUCAAUUUGCUCAGUUUGCUCCCGGGUAGUUGGUAGUGUAGAGAUGUGAAUUUCUUUAUCACUGCAUUCACAAAAUUAGGCCAAGUGGACAGCAUGUUGCUCGCCUCGAGCCAAGCAAACCACUUCCUUGCCAAACCAUCCAUAUGAAACGAUACUAUGAGUAAUUUCUGAUCUUCAGGUACUUUAUUAAAUAUGAAAUACCUUCUUACUGCAUAUAGCCAAUGCUCAACAUCUGUGCCAUCAAAUCUAGGCAUAUUAACUCUAAUGUGCUUGGCUGGUGUAUAAGUUAGAUCCUCCAUAAUAGAAUUAGCAUAAACAGGAUUAUCUAAAUUUACCACCGAUUGACAAUAGGAUUGAAGUGACUUUAUAAUUUCUUGAGAUUCACUGCCAUGCAUGCUUGUAUUAGUUGGUUUGUCAGAACUAACCUUGGCUGUCAUUUCUGAAAUUUUUGCACUCAAAUUUGUCAUUUGCUUGCUUAUUUCCAGAAAAUUAUUAUUGACAGAAGACCUGAGUUCACCUAUGUCUUUGACUUGACUCAUUUGCAGGUUCUGUAGACGGAUAAAGUCUGGAUGGGAUUUUAAUUCUGAUGUGGUUGCCAUCUGAAGGAAAGAGUUCACUUAAGAAAGCACCAAAUGUUACAAGGUGAAAAAUUAAUUUAAUCAGAGUGAUUCAUCUUACUAACGUGGUUGCCUCAGAUCCGUGUUAGUGACGGAUAUCCGAGACAGAGAGCAACGGGGAUACACCCCUGAAAUUGAGGCUUAGCCUCCCCUCUUCACAAUUAAGUUCAGAGAAAGUAGUGCUCAAUAUGGCAAGUGGUACAGGCGCCUGCAGAUCGUCCCACAGCUCGUAGAUCGCAUCUAUUUCAGCAAUUCCGAUAACCGACGCAAGAUUUGGGGCAUAGGAUGAUGAUGAAACGUACUCGGCGUUUUGGCCGGAGGUGAUCAGUAGAGGUGUUGGAUGGAAGGUGACAAUAUUGGAGUUUAGGAAUUUGAUGCGUUUUCAUUCAUGUAAAUAAAAUUAUAUAUGUUUGGUACAAAUUGUAAAACUUAAAUUAUUUGGGGUCUCUUAUGCAAUAAUUUAAAUAAAAGAGAAUGCAAUAAGCCAACAACUUUAAUAAUUUUUUCACGACGGAUUUCAUUCAGUCGUGAAAUCCUUAAGCCAUCCCGGUUUACGGCUUGCUCUUCUCGGUCCGCGACUUGUCUCCGGUCCAGGUUCGUUCAACGGUUGCGGAUCGUCAUCUUCCUCGUCGUACCCAAUUUUAGAGAUUAACGUUUCCCUUAAUGCCUUGGCAUCACUGCUCACCGCUUGUCGGUCAAUUUCUCCAUCCGGCCACGUAACACUCUUCCACCAAAUCGGAGUUCUGAAGUCCUACCAUUUUAUGAGACAUGUGCUCUUAACAAAUCUCGUCGGCUUCCAUUCAGCCGACGUACUCAUAUGGCCAAGCAUAUAUUAUAACUUCUUCAUUUGGACAUUUGGGGUCCGGUCUCAAUUGUAUCUUCAGAAGGGUUCUGAUAUUACUUAGUCAUUGUUGAUGAUCAUAGUCGUUUUUCAUGGAUAAUUUCUCUAAAACUAAAGUCCGAUUGUUAUUUCAAAUUUUCUGCCUUUGUUGAAUCUGUUCAAAAUCUUCUUCGAUCCCGUAUCUCAUCUAUACAAUGCGACGAUGGUGGAGAAUUUAUUAGUCUAAAGUUCAAAGAAUUUCUCUCAAAUCGUGGAAUCUCUCAACGUUUUUCAGGCCCGCACACACGUGGAGUGGCAGAGUGUAAGCAUCAAACAAUCACACAAAUUGGGAGGUGUUUAUUGAAUCAGGCCAGAUUGCCAUUGAAGUACUGGUUACAUGCUUUCUCAACAACAGUUUUUAUUAGUACGUAACCAGCUAGUAUCUUUGAACACUAAUGGUAAAUCCAUAUGAUAUUAUUUUUGGAAUUAAGGAUUCCAGAUUAUUCAAUUUUGAGGACCUUUGGAUCCUUGAGUUUUCCACAUAUACCAAAAACACAAAGGAUAAAAUUUGAUUGCACAACAAGGAGGUGUUUCUUUCUUGGAUAUGCCUCUCAAUAUAAAGGAUAUAUAUGACUUGAUCUGAAAAGUGAAGCACUAAUUAUUUCUCGUGAUGUGGUAUUUGAUCCCAAAUUGAUCCCAUAAUGAUUAUUACAAUCGGGCUUCUCUAUUUUUACAAAUUGAUCCCAUAAUGAUUUGAAUUUAUCAAAGAAAAUCAAAAUAGAAUCAUUUGAUUGAUUUAGGGUAUUUACCUCAUACCUCAGUUGUUAGUUUUGGGGGUAUUUUUUUGCUUAUAUCUCUCUUGAAGAUCUGCCCAUGCUUCAUAUGCAUUUUCUGUAUGUAUAAGAGUGGUUGUUGUCUGGGGGCUUACACUGUUAAUGAUCCAUGACAAAACUAGACCAUUAAUCAUUUCCCAGUUUUCAUAAUCCACCCCUGUUUAAUCCACAAGCCUUUUAAUUCUUCCAUUAAUAAAGGCAGUCUUCUUCCUGAAAACCAAUGACAAUUUCAUUGAGUUUGCCCACGCUACAUAAUUCUCCUCGCCAGUGAGCUUAUCUGCCACCAUUUGGGCACCUGGGUGCUCUCCGGAAGUGAGAUAGUAAGGGGAUUUCCUUGAGUAUUUGCUAUUGUCUUCAUCAUUGUAUUUCUUAGAAAUUGAUCUUUUGCUUUUGGGUUGUCUUAGAAACCUGGAAUUAUUUUUAGAACUAUUUUCAGAAGAUACAUUGUUACCUUGAUUACUCGAAUUUACAAGACUUCUGUUGGUGUGAGAGUUCGUCGAAGCUAGCUCAUCGUCCAACCCAGUACAAGUCUCUCUCUCUCUCAGAAUUAUCAACCCCUACCCCAGUUGGACCAGGGGAGGUAUUUAUAGCCUUUACUUGCUGUCCUUGGGCCUCGUGGGCUCGUGCGUCGGGCCCGUCCGUCUGGGCCGACCGGGCCGGUUCGGUCCAUGGGCCGCGGUCCAUGGUACCAACAGUACUCCCCCCCUUCCUUGGCGGGCCCAGGGGCCCGGGGCCGUCCGCCCCUCUUUCGCCCCCCACCCACUUUCAUUAAUGUUCCUCGGUUCUCGGGCCAUCCUUCUUCACUUUCCUAUAAAUAAGCUGCCUGAGUCCCCUAUUUUUUGCAUCCCCUCUCCUUUCCGCUAUGAGUGCUCGAGACAUCCUUGAGGAGUAUGGUCGCGAAGUGCAGCUUCAGCAUGCCACCUGGGCCCUGUGUCUGCUGUCGCCUGCUGGUGUUCCCAAUAGUGUUGCCGUGGCCGAGACUCAGCGCCUCAAUGCCGUGUUGAUCGACGUCCACCGUCGCCUCUCCCAGAUUCGCCGCUCCGACAUUAUCGCGGAACAUCCUCCCGUCACCUACCCUGAUACCUCAGGCUCUGCUGGCACCUCGCGUGCUUUCCGCGCGCAAGGUACGAUCGUCGCCCCCGCUGCCGUCGCCGACCCCGCUCCUCUUCCAAGGCGUCGUCGGCCGCGCGGCCCUCGUCGUUCCCGCGGGUCCUCGUCCAGCAGGUGCUGCGCUAGGGCCUCUCCACUGCCCCCUCCCGGCGUCGUUGCCACAAUGGUUCGCGGGGCCUCCACGGGUGGGGCGUCGCUCCUGGGUCUCCCAUCCGGGGGGGCGGGCGGCCCGUACAUGGGAUCCCCUCCUCCGCCCCCGUCCGACUCCAGGGUGUGUGGGGUCACCGUAAGCUGGUGCACCUGCUCUUGUAGCUGACGCUGGCUCUCCUGUAGGGUGGAUAUCAGUUCCACGAGCUGCAUCCUCUCCCGCUUGCUCUCUUUUUCCGCGCGCUCUUUUUCCUCCACGCGCUCCCUUCGCCGGAGCCUCUCGUGCUCCUUUUCCCUUCUCUCCCGGGACCGCGACCGGGACCGCGUUCUCCUGACCUUGGGUGGGGACGCCGGUUCUUUGUGCCGGCGCCUUUUGGGUGACUCCCACCCGUACCUGAUCUCCUCGAGCUCCAUGCGCAGCCUAUCCUCCUCGCCGUCCCAUUCCUCGUUGGCCCUUACCUCCUCCGAAUACCGGUCGCGGGAGUGGUGUCGCGCCGGCUGGUACUCCUCCGCUGCCCGCUCGGGUCGCUUUGAGCUCUCCCCUACUUGGUAUUCGCUCCUCGUCAUCCUUCUCUCUCCGGCUGUCAUGUGCUUGUUUCACGUCAGGUUCACCACUGUUGGUGUGAGAGUUCGUCGAAGCUAGCUCACCGUCCAACCCAGUACAAGUCUCUCUCUCUCUCAGAAUUAUCAACCCCUCCCCCAGUUGGACCAGGGGAGGUAUUUAUAGCUUUCACUUGCUGUCCUUGGGCCUCGUGGGCUCGUGCGUCGGGCCCGUCCGUCCGUCUGGGCCGACCGGGCCGGUUCGGUCCAUGGGCCGCGGUCCGCGGUCCAUGGUACCAACAACUUCCUUCAUUGGAAAUCUCUUUUUCAUCAGACGAGUGGUCCAUCAUUGUGGAAGCAGGUGGGAUAUUCACAUCGUUGCUGACAUGUGAUACCAUGAUAGAAUGUGUGCGCAGAUACCUCCCGGAUGUUAAUUGAAUUUGGAGCUGACGGAAUUGGCCAGCAAUCGCACUCACGAGAAAGGGGGUGGAUUCUAGGGUUCUUAGAGCUAAUUUUUCCCCUAGAAUCCGUUGAGAAGUGUUAGGAAAGAGUUUAACUGUUUAAACUGUCUCAGAGUAAAUUGAAAUUAAUUAACUCACUGUUUACAAUCAUUUAUAUAAUACAAUCAGACUGAUCAUCAACUAAUAUAUUUAACAAUAUUUCAAUACUAACGUUUAUUAAUUCUGGCCCAUCGUGUAUCUCAACAUGAUAAUUAGCCCAAUUGCAUUAUCGAAACUUUUGCAUCUUCUCUGCCAAGCUUUCUUGAUAUUCUUUGAGCAUAACUUCUAUUGAAACUUUUGUAUUAUUAACCUCAAGCUUCUUUGUUAGUCUGGGGUUAUUUACCUGCAUAGUAUACUUAAACAGAUUAUUGGUUUUAAGUCCUGAACACAUGAUUAUAUAAUUUACAGUAAUUAUAAUAGAAUUAAAGUGGAAUUAAUUGUCUAAUUUCUUUAGAAUUCACCUUUCCAUUCUUGAGCAAAAUAAGUCUUGUAAGUCUUAUAAUGGAAUUACAGUGGAAUAUAAUGAGCAUUCUGAUAAUAUACACAACAAGGAUCCUAAAGGUAAUCUCAUGGUCCCCACAUCUGGCACACAAUCAAUAUUAUAUCCUUCCCAAAACGAUGAUACUGCUCAAUAACCAAAUCUCUCCAUAUCUUCUGAAUCAGCUGCAGUAGACCCUAUUAAAACUAUCAAAACAAAUGUGAUCAUUCAUUCCAAUUUUAGUUCAACUAAAUCAAUUAUACAAUACUUAACAUAUUUAUAUUCAUUCUAUCUUAACCAACCUAUUAGUUUGGUUAGUUUUACAAUAUAUCCCUAUAAUAACAUAUAAUUACUUAUAUGUAUUAUUUAUCUAAUAUUCCCCCUCAAAUCUAGCAUUCUGAAACUAAAUCUUUGAUUGCAGAAUCUUGAUUUGUGUAGAAUUCUCGAACUUAUAAAGUAGUCACCAAGAAUCAUCUUGUUACUCCCAUCUUGUUGUGAAUAUAGUAGAGAAGUUUAACUCCUCCUAGCUCAGAGUAAAUAGAAUGAUGGGUAGAUGAAAAAACCCGGGUGUGCUCUUUUGACAUCUUUUGAAUGUGUUUGGUCUUUUCCAUCUUUCUCCGGGAAAAACCUACCCAUCAUACCAAAUACACCAAUAUUCUCCUCAAAAAACAAAACCAAGAGAAAAGGAAAUGAUAGCAAUCCAUUGAGAGAUAGUAUCCUAUAAGAUAGUAAUCUGCAAAAACAAACAAACAAACAAACCAUGCACAUGGAUUACUAGUAUGUAGUUUAAAAAAUAUAUUGUAGAAGUAUAUGAUUGUAGAAUGGACUUAAAUUUGAGUAUAUGAUUUCUGAAAAUCCAGACUUAAUUCAAAGGCAUUCCAAUGAUCUGCAACAUAUGAAUUUCCUGCAGACAAAAUCAUAGAAAAAACACCUACAACCACCACAUCAUUCAAAAUAGAGUGUUUCAUACAACCUGCAUAUAUCUAAACAUUUCAUACACCAUACAAUUGAAUCAUUAAAUAAUUGAAGUAUUUCACGUAAUAAGCAAGUAAGGGAAGUUAAAAUGAAUUCAUUUAUUGAUUAAUAGAGGAUUGGACCAUCUUAUGUUAUACCCCAAUGACCAAUUUAUCUCUAAAUUUUGAAAAAAUUGAAGUUCCCAAAGGUUUGGUCAGAAUAUCUGCUAAUUGUUCUGUUGUUGGAAUGUAUUUAACCAAUAAUUGUUUGUCUCUAACUCUUUCUCUAACAAAAUUAAAAUCUACUCCUAUAUGCUUUGUUCUUGCGUGAUAUAGAGGAUUUGCAGAAAGAUGUAAUGCUCCCAUGUUAUCACACCAUAGUGUGGGAAUGGUUGUUACAAAACCAAGCUCUUUUAGUAGCUGUUGUACCCAGAUUAAUUCCUGAGUUGCUGUGGCCAGGCUCCUAAAUUCAGCCUCACAGCUGGAUUUGGAUACUGUUGGUUGUUUCUUUGAGUUCCAAGAGAUUAGAUUUGCUCCUAGAAAGACUAAGAAACCUCCUUGACUUUUACAAUCUAGUUUCUCUCCUGCCCAGUCACUGUCAGAAAAAACCUGAAUAUUAGAGUUCUUGAUUUCUCUAAUAGCAAGUCCGUGAUUUAAAGUUCCUGACAAGUAUCUAAAUAUUUUCUUUACCUCAAUCCAAUGAGUUUCACAAGGACUAGACAUGAACUGACAAACUUUGUUUACAGCAAAGGCAAUGUCAGGUCUUGUUAUGGCUAGAUAUUAAAGACUACCUACAACACUUCUAUAUAUUUUGGGAUAAAAAAGUUGCUCACCUAGUUCUGUAUAAAUCAAACUAUUUUUAGAGAUUGACGUUUUAGAAGGUUUGAUGGUUUCAAACCCAAACUUGAUCAGUAAGUCUUUCAUAUACUUAGUCUGGUUUAGGUGAACUCCAGAUCUAUUAUAUAUGACCUCUAUUCCUAAAAAAUAUGAAGGUCUACCCAUAUUUUUAAGCUUAAACUCGUUAUUUAGAGAACCCACCAUUUCUUCUACCUCAAUAGGAUUAGAACCAGUAAAGAUUAUAUCAUCCACAUAUAUGAGGAAGAACAUUUUACUUUUAGGUGUGACUUUAAUGAAUAAUGAUGGAUCUGAGAUAUUGUCAGUAAAACCUAGUUCAAUCAGAAAAUACCUCAGUCUUUCGAACCAAGCCCUAGGGGCUUGUUUCAGACCAUAAAGGGACUUCUUUAGGAGACAAACAUGAUCUUUUUGUUUUUGAUUGACAAAACCAGGUGGUUGUGUCAUAUAUACUAGUUCUUUUAAGUUCCCGUUUAGAAAAGCAUUGGAUAUGUCUAAUUGCUUCAUUAUCCAGUUGUUAGAUACAACUAUUGAGAAAAUUAUUUUGAUUGUUACUGGUUUCACAACAGGAGAAAAGGUCUCCUCAUAAUCUAUUCCUUCCCUCUGAUUGUAUCCUUUGGCCACUAAUCUGGUCUUGUAUCUAUCAAUAGUCCCAUCUGAUUUUUGCUUUAUUUUGAAAACCCAUUUACAUCCUAUGAUGUUCAUAUUAGGUUUUUGCUUAACUAGCUCCCAUGUUGAGGCAUUCAACAGAGCAUUUUAUUUUUCAGUCAUUGCAGUUACCCAUUUUGGGUUUGCUUUGGCUUGUGUGAAACAACUAGGUGUUUUUUCACUUAAUGAUGACAUCGAAAGAGUAUAUUUUGAAUUUGGUUUAUAAAUGUUAUUCAUACUUCUAGUUACUAUUCUAGACUCAAUAUUUCUAAUAUCACUAAAUCAGAAAUAGAUUCAUUUGUAGAUGAUAUAGUAUUCGAAGAAGGAACAGAUAUACCAGAGUUUUCAAUUGUUUGAGAAUUGUUUGGUGAUGCUUCCUCUUCCUGACCAUUACUUAAACUUCCUCUAUCCUCUUCUUGAUUUAUCUGAUCAUGAACUAUUCCUGGCCUAAUGACAAUAAGCUUAUUAAUAACAUCUGUAAAUUCAGAUUUCUCAUGCACUUGAUUUCUACUAAUCAUCAUUGCAGUUGAGAAAUCAUCCUCAUGGAAGAUCACAUCUCUAGAUAUUAUUAUUUUCCCAUUUAGAGGAUUAUAACAAAGAUAUCCUUUGUUAUUCAGGGAAUAUUCAAGAAAUACACAUUUUUCAGAUCGAAAAGAAAAUUUAUGUAAUUUGUAUGGUCUUAGAUUGGGGAAACAUGUAUAACCAAAAACUUUGAAAAUUUUAUAAUCUGGACUUUUGUUGAAUAAGGUCUCCUGAGUUGACUUAGGAGACUUAUUAGUUGGUAAAUGAUUGAUUAAAUAUACAACACUUAUAAACGCAUAAGGCCAUAGAUUCAAAGGUAGAGUAGAUUUUUCUAGUAAACCUAGACCCAUGUCCACAAUGUGUCUAUGUUUCCUUCCACUAACUCCUACUUGUUCAUGUGUGUGGGGGCAAGAAAACCUAUGAGUAAUUCCAUGUUUAAUUAAAUAUGAUUUAAAAAAGUUAUUUUUAUAUUCCCCACCAUUAUCCGUUUGUAUUGCUUUUAUUUUCAAAUCUAACUCAUUUUCAAUAUUGGUUUUAAACUUUCGAAAUUUUGAAAAUACCUCUGAUUUACAUUGAAUCGGAAAGAUCCAAGUGUAUUUGCUGAAUACAUCAACAAAGUUAACAUAAUAUCUAAAGCCUUGUGGUGAAGUGUGGGGAGAUGGUCUCCAAACAUCACUAAAAACCAAUUGUAGGGGCCUAUUAACAGAAUAAUCAUAAGAUAAAAAAGGAAGUUUAUGGCAUUUACUAAUUGAGCAAGAAAUAUAUUUAUCAAAUUUGUUGUUUAAAAUAGGCAAGUCAUAUUUAUUACAAAUUUUUCUAGUUAUGUUCUCAUUAAUAUGCCCAAAUCUAAGAUGCCAUUUAUUUAAUGAGGCCUUUUCACAAAGAAAAGCAUGAUGUGAGAUGGAUGAACCUGCACUGUGAGUAGAAAAGGAGUAUAGCCCAUCCCUAGCAUCUCCUUUAAUCAAGACUUCAUUUGUGCUUUUAUCUUUCACCACCACCUUAGAUUCAUCAAAUUCAAAGAUAUCAUUAUUAUCUUGACAAAAAUUUUGAACAGAAAUUAAGUUCUUUGAUGUAGUAGGAAUAUGUAAGAGAUUCUUUAAAAAUAAUUUUUUAUUAUUACAAUUAAAGUGAGAAGUUCUAAUGUGAAGAAUAUCCAUACCAGUACCAUUAGCAAUGGUGACCUUGUCACCUCCUUCAUAUGGAGCUGCAAAACUCAGAUUCUCAAAAUCAGAAGUAAUGUGGGUUGAAGCUGCAGAGUCAGGAAACCACAUAGUUGUAUCACUCCCCACAUCCUCUUCCUCAAAUACUAUAUGUGCUUGCUUAUUAUGACCUAUGUUGAAAGACUUAUUGAACCUGUUAUAGCAACUAGAGGCAAUGUGACCUCUCUUUUCACAGAUUUGACAUAUCAUAUAAGAGUAGGAAGUCACUUUUGAGGGCUGUUUUGGCAAGAUAAAAUUCUGAUUUUUAUUAUUAUUAGCAUAUGAGUUUUGAUUCGAAUUAUACCUCUGUCUGUUGGUAUAAUUUACUGAGAAUGAGUUUUCCACAGAAGGUGCCAUGUUCGAUGCUAGUCUUAUCUCGUGAUUGAGAAGAAUGCCUUGUAUGUCAUCUAUAGAAAAUGCUUCAUUAUUUGGUCUUGUGGUAAUUGCUGUCACCAAAGGAUCAUAAUCAGAUCCAAAUCCAUCAAGAAUAAACAGGGCCAGAUCAUUGUCAGAAACCUUAUCACCAGCAAGGGCUAAAGCAUUCGCAAUAUCUAUCAUAUUGGUAAUAUAAUCUUCCAUAGAUUUGUUGCCUUUCUUUGUUGUCUGCGAAUUCAGACGCAAUUGCAAUGUCCUCACUUGUGAAUUAGACGCAAAUACCUUGGCUAAUGUGUCCCAAAUUUGUUUGGCAGAAGUGCACGCACAUACUUUGGGAAGAACCUCUUCAGUUAUUGCAGUCAUUAGCCAUCCCAUGAGCAAAUUAUCUUACUCUUCACACUCUGCAUAUGUUAAACCUUGCAGAUUCUUCGGUAAAAUUCCUUUAGUAUUUGGCAUAGUAACUGGAAAAACUAUGGAUCCAUCCACAAAUCCUAAGAUUUUGCUUCCUUUUAAAAUCUUAAAAAUUUGGGGCCUCCAAAUAUUGUAAUUUGUUUUUGUUAAUUUCACGGUUUUAACAGUGAAAAUUGUGGCAAUUUUCAUUAGAUCAGUAGAUGCCAUGAAAAUCGAUAGAAAAUAACAAAUCAAACCAGAGAAUAAAGACCUAGCCGAUCCAGCAAAAGAAUCCUAAAAAUCAGAACAAGGAAACAAAAAGAAUCCUUAUACAUAUAAUUACUUAUAUGUAUUAUUAUUAGGUAAAUCAAAACAGAAAAUCGAUUGUGCAGCAGAUCCAGUGACGAAAUUUGAAAAACGAGACCAACAGCAGUAGCAGAAUCGUGUCGAGAGAAGGCAGCAGCAGAAUCGCGUCGAGAGACCAAAUUGUGGAGGCACCACCAGCAGCGGAAUCGAUUUGCGAUUUAAUCGUAGGAAGAUCGGUCGGCAGAAAAACGAAAUCAGUUUGCGAUUUCGUCAAAGGAGAGAAGAGAAAAAAGAACGGUGUGCGAUGUUGAUUUGGACUUUGGGGGGGAAAAAGAAUAAAAUAAGUUGGUGAUUUGGGAAAAGACAAAGCAGUAAUAAAUGGGAAAAAUGAAAUAACAAUAAUCAAUAGCAAUUGAAGGGGGAAAAAAUAAAAGAGAAGAAGAGGAAAGAAUUCAAAUCUUGAUGGCGAUGCUCAUUCGUUGCAUCCAAAAUUGAACCUGGACGUGUGUCCGACGUGGCUCUAAUACCAUAUUAAAACUAUCAAAACAAAUGUGAUCAUUCAUUCAAAUUUUAGUUCAACUAAAUCAAUUAUACAAUACUUAACAUAUUUAUAUUCAUUCUAUCUUAACCAACCUAUUAGUUUGGUUAGUUUUACAAUAUAUCCCUAUAAUAACAUAUAAUUACUUAUAUGUAUUAUUUAUCUAAUAGACCCUUCACGUCUCCAAAGCUGCACACUUGAUUCAGACUCUUCAUGUCUUUAGAACUGCACCCCAACUGUAGAUUGCAUCUCUAAAGACAUCUCUCUCUCUCUGUUCACGAUAUUCUACCUGCUCCACGUCGCUCGCAACAAAAUAUCGUUCUUCCGAAGCAUCUCUCAAAUUACGAAGUUGACACUAAAAAAAACCAGCGCAGUUCCGGCGGCAUAUUCCGGCGGCCUGGCCACCGGUAUAAUAGUUCCUGGCGGCCAAGCCGACGAUAUUCCAUCGCCGGAAGUUAUGUCGUCGGAAUUGUGAAAUACCGGCAGCUUGGCCGCCAGCAAAAAAUUGUGGAUUCCGAUUUUAACAGAAAUUGUCCCGACGGCUUAGUCGCCGGCAUUUUUUUAAAAAAAUUAUAUCCCGGCGGCCACUGGUCACUGGUCAAUAUUUUUGGAAAAUAAUUUGCCGGCGGCCUGGCCACUGGUCAAUAUUUCCCGGCAGGAAAAAAAAUUUCCCGGGAAAAAAUUUCUGGCGGCCAAGCCGCUGGUUCACUUUUGAAAAAUAAAAAAAAAUUGAAAUUAAUAAAUUAUUUAAUAUAUGAAAUUAAUAAAUUAAAUAUGAAAUUGAAAAUAAAAAUGAAAUUGAUAUUGAAAUUGAAUUUGAAGUUUAAUAUUUAAUGUAGAACAAAAAUUAACUUCGAUAAUCACUAAUUUAAUUUCUUUUUUUCGCUCUUUUUCUUUUUUUUAGUUCCGACCACCUUUCGUAAUGCCUUUUUCGUGAAUAUUAUCGAUCGUCCUCCGCGCGGUUGUGGAGUGGUGUGCUCCUCUUAUGGUGUGAACUUCCUCCACAUAAAACUCUUGGCAACGAACUAUCUUUUGUAGAGGAUGCAGUUCAAUCCGCUACUGAAUUGUUUUAGUCUAAAAUAACUGAUUGAUAAAUCAACCCCUCCACCUACGCCCUCCCUUCAAUGCCCAAUCUAUAUAGCUUGGUGGCAUAGGGACCAACUGUUGGUAGGUUGGAUUUUAUCCUCCCUGUCGGAGGAGGUGCUUCCCACAGUAUUGGGAUUGGAAUCUGCCGCCGCGAUCUGGGAUACUCUAGCAACGUCGUAUGGGCGAUCAUCGGAGUCGCGAAUCCUUCAGCUCCAGAUGCAGCUGUAAAACAACCGGCACGCGACCGGUGAGGAUGUUGUUGUCUUUCUCCGGCGAGCCAAGCUACUGGCUGACGAACUAGCAGCGGCCGGGGCAUCCGUUCCCACUCGCAUCUUCAAUGCGACUGUCUAUAACAACCUGGGACCGGACUUCGGCGAGGCGGUGACGGCAUUGGCAGUCCAGCAGUCGGUGGUGGCCUUCGACGAACUCCUGAAGAUCAUGACCAGCCACCAGAUCCGGCUGAAAAUGCGGGAAUCCAUUCCCACAUUCAACCAGACGUCGACGAACUUUGGAUCUGGAGGCGCGUUUUCGCCAGCUUCGAGUUUCGCCGGAGGCAGGGGAGGACGCGGCCGAAAUAAUUUGGGGAAGGGAAGAAAUCGUGGAAGGGUGGCGCAGGUUAGGCGAGACCCAUGCCCGGUCUGUGGGGGCAUGGGUCACAACCCGUAUAAGUGCCAAUUUAGGGUAAACCCCUACCAAAACAAUAACCCAAAUCCGGCCCACGAAAACAGUCCACAAGUUAACAAUAUUAAUUCCCCAAAUCCAUUAAUCCCUCAAAUGAUAUGGCCCAAGCCCAAUACGUUAAUUCUCCUAUGCAAUCAGCCCAAUAUUAUCCAGUCCCGGUCCAACAACAAAUUCCAGUUAUUUUAGGCAGCCGCGACAAAUAAUACUCAGGUGGCAGAUUCAUAUUUUUUAACAAGUGAUCUGGAUCAACAUGACAUGGCAGCCUGGUACCCGGAUACUGGAGCGACACACCACUUUACUCCAAACAUCCAGUCAAUCUCGUCUCCAAUGUCGUAUCAGGGACCCGGGUCUGCUCAGUUAGGUAAUGGGACCCAACAUCAGAUCCAACACUUGGGGGAUGGUAAUUUUGCAAGUGGAUCCUCUUUUUUUUCAUUACGUAACAUUCUACAUGUUCCAUCACUUAAAACUCUGUUAUUAUCCGUUCAGCAAUUUUGCAGGGAUAAUAACUGUUAUUUUGUGUUUGACUCUUUUCGUGUCUUUGUGAAGGACCGAAUUACUCACAAGGUACUCCUUCAAGGACAGCAUGAUGGAUCCCUCUACAAGAUUGUUCCGACUCCACCACCAAUUCUUUAUUCGACUCAAGCCAAUCUGGAUAUCUGGCAUCAACGGCUGGGUCACCCUAAUGAGUCGGUCCUUCGUCAUGUAGUUUCGUUAAAUCAUUUGCCUUCUGUUAUUUCCAAAUUCAAUAAAUGUAAGUCGUGUGUGUUAGGCAAGGCGAGUCGCAACUACCUUGUCUCGACUUACUCUAAAUCCAAAUAUCCGGUAGGACUCGUUCAUAGUGAUGUGUGGGGCCCUGCCCCGGUCUCUUCUUAUAAUGGACAUAGAUAUUUCGUUUUUUUUAUUGACGAUUUUUCUAGAUUCAUCUGGUUUUUCCCUAUCAAACAUAACUUUGAAGUUGCAGGCAUUUUUCAGAAAUUUCAUAUUAUGGUGGAAAAACAAAUGAGAUAUAAAAUCAAAUAUUUUCAAUCAGACUUCGGCGGUAAAUUCCAAGCUUUCACCACAUACUUCACCUCUCACGGAAUUCAUCACCGAAGGUCGUGUCCACAUACUCAUGAACAAAGUGGCACGGCAGAAAGGAAAAUCAGACAUAUAGUGGAUACUGGUCUAACACUUCUUGCUCAUGGUAGUGUUCCUUUGUCAUAUUGGAAUUUUGCCUUUUCUACAGCAGUAUAAAUCAUAUUCCAUCCAAAACUCAUGAGACCCCACCACUUCAAAAAUUAUUCAAUAUCCAACCUAAACACGCUUUUCUAAAAGUGUUCGGGUGUGAGGUCUUUCCACUUCUUAGACCUUAUAAUCAACAUAAGUUCGCUUUUCGCUCUAUAUCAUGCAUUUUCUCAGAUAUAGUCCAUCUCAUAUGGGAUAUAUUUGUCUUGAUCCACCAACUCAAAAAUCAUACAUUUCACGUCAUUGCACGUUUUUCGAAAAUUCCUUCCCAUUUGCAAAAUUACAGGUAUCCCAAGGUACGUCAACAAGUCAUCAAUCAGGCCCAUGGGAGUAAUUGCUUUCGGUUCAUUGGUCAGAUUUGGCUGCACAUAUGACUGAAAAGUUAAAUUCUUAGAAUCCUCGGUCCAAUCCAGAAUCACCUAGUUUAUCAACUCCGGUGGGGCCCACAGUAGCGGUAUAUGGUACUGAAAGUUCAAAUAAUUCACUACCAACUAGUCAAGGCUCAGAUGACCCCGCAAGUACAAUUCUCCCAACCCCUAAUAAUCGGCCCCAACGGAAUAUUCCUCGAGUUGAUUAUCGGAGACUGGCAGAAUUGGAAGCCACGUCACUUGCAAUUGAUGACUUCUAGGAACCAACUACAGUCCGACAGGCGUCCAAAUCACAUGAAUGGAUCCAGGCCAUGGAAGUUGAGUUUGGUGCACUGAUACGAAAUCACACUUGGUCCUUGGUGGACCUUCCUCGAAAUGCGAACUUAGUCACUUGUAAAUGGGUAUUCAAGGUCAAGAGAGGAUCUGAUGGCAGUUUCCAACGACGAAAGGCACGUCUAGUUGUACGUGGUUUUUCACGUCGAAGGAAUUGAUUUUAAUGAAACAUAUAAUCCGGUAGUGAAGUUUCCAACCAUCAGAAUCAUGCUAGCACUCGCAAUAUCCAAGGGUUGGCAGCUUCGUCAGCUUGAUGUCGACAACGCAUUUCUAAAUGGGGACCUCAAGGAAAUUGUGUUUAUGAUACAACCCCCAGAAUUCGUAAACAAACAUCAUCCAACCAGGAUAUGCAGACUUCACAAGUCACUCUACGAGCACCGACAAUCUCCUCGAGCAUGGUACGAACGCUUGAGUAAUUUUUUAAAAUUGAUUGGUUUUGUAAGUACCGCAUCAGAUGCAUCUCUAUUCUUGCGAGUUACGAGAAAUUCUCAGGUCUAUAUGUUGAUUUAUGUGGAUGACAUAGUGGUGACUGGGUCUUCAGCUUCAAACAUCACACAGUUGAUUGACACAUUAUCUAAGGAAUUCAGACUCAAGGAUAUGGGAAAGCUGCAGUUCUUCUUAGGAAUGGAGCUAACUCCGGUAGGUACUACUGGUAGUUACGUUCUGUCUCAACAUCAGUACAUCCGUGAUCUACUCCGCCGAACAAAUAUGCACAAGUCAAAAUCUGCGUCCACACCUAUGCCGUCUACUACAAAGUUGACUGUGACUGAUGGGGUACCCAUGGAAGAUAAGUUGUUAUAUCGCUCAACAGUAGGGGCACUGUUAUACUUGGUAAAUACUCGUCCGGAUAUAUUAUUUGUCGUAAAUAAACUGUGUCAAUAUCUCCAAAAUCCAACCACAGUUCAUUGGGCAGCGGCAAAACGAGUAUUGAGAUAUUUACAAGGUACGGUUUCAUAUGGAAUAUUACUUGCAUCAUCAGCCUCAAUCAGAAUAGAUGUAUACACCAAUGCAGAUUGGGCAGGAUGCCUAGAUGAUCGACGUAGUAUGGGAGGAUUCGCUAUAUUUAUCGGAAAUAAUCUAGUUUCUUAGUCAGCCAAGAAACAACCCACUAUUGCACGCUCUUCCACAGAAGCUGAGUUUCGCAUUAUGGCUGAUGCAGCAUCAAAAACAUUCUGGAUUCGAAAUUUACUAAGGGAAAUUCGACUAAUACCAAUCACACGAGCUUAAGUAUGGACGGAUAAUCUUGGGGCUAAAUAUCUAGCACACAAUCCUGUGUUCCACUCUCGAAUGAAACAUAUGAAAAUCAAUUUCAGGUUCAUAUGAGAAUUAGUCAGAAAUGGAGAAAUACAUGUCACUCAUAUUUCUACAAGAGAUCAGAUAGCUGAUGGCUUCACUAAGCCAUUACCUUCGUCACGAUUCCUUGAAAUAAGGUCCAAGCUCGGCGUGGUUCCUCAAACGGUGUGGUUCCUCAAACGGUGUGGUUCAUCAUUCUCCCUAGAUGCCGAUCACCAAUCCAACAUGAGGCACAUCAUUACAAAAGAAGGAGUGAAACCUGAUCCGGAGAAACUAAUGGCCGUGAGAGAUUGGCCGGUUCCCAAAUCAGUCAAACAGGUUCGGGCAUUGCUCGGGUUGACAGGGUACUACCGGCGGUUCAUAAGCCUGUAUACACAAAUCGCAAGUCCAUUAACAGAGUUAUUAAAGAAUGGUGGGUUCAUCUGGAGAGAGAUAGCCGAAGAAGCUUUUGAGUUACUAAAGGAAGCUCUAAUGUUGGCCCCAGUAUUGGCAUAUCUCAAUUUUUCACGGCCAUUCAUUGUAGAAACGGAUGCGUGUAAUGUGGGCGUCGGAGCAGUUCUAGCUCAAUUGGAGCACCCCGUCGCUUACUACAGUCGAAAGCUAUCAUCAGUCCGGCAGAAGGCAUCGACGUAUGCCAAGGAACUUUGGGCCAUUACCGAUACCGUGCGAAAAUGGCGCCAUCACUUGUUAGGAGGGACAUUCAUGAUCAGAACUGAUCACCACAGCUUGAAGAACCUACUGGAACAAACUAUCCAGACUCCGAAGCAGCAAUACUUCCUCACCAAGUUAUUGGAAUAUUCGUUCAAAAUUGUCUACCGGAGUGGCCGGUAGAACGUCAUCGCAGAUAUUCUGUCCAGAGUAAGUUGGGACCAGAACGAGGAAGAAGAGGCACAAUUUCGAUUACUAUCAUAUGCUCCCGUGCCAGAAUGGUUGAAACAAUUACAGGAGGAGAAUGAAACUAACGAAUGGAUUGUCGGAAAGCGAAAAGCGAUGUUGAAUGGAGAAGGAGACAGAGGAUUCAAUAUUAGAGACAGCUUGUUGACAUUUGAGAAACGGAUCUAUGUCGGACCAGGGUCUACCCUACGAUCGCACAUUUUGGGGGAAUGUCACGAUUCAAAAACAGGCGGGCACGUGGGCUAUUAUCGGACGCUGCAGAGGGUCCAACUGUAUUUUUUUUGGAAGGGGAUGACCAGAUUUGUACGCGAUUUCGUAGCGAACUGCGCGACCUACCAACAGAUGAAGAUUCUGAAUAAAAACCCCAGAGGCUUAUUGCAACCAUUGCCAAUUCCAGAGGCAGUGUGGGAAAGGAUAGGAUUAGAUUUCAUAACCGGACUUCCAGUGGUGAAAGGAGAUUCGGUGAUUAUGGUGGUAGUGGAUCGGUUGUCAAAGUACUGUCACCUAGGGAGUUUGCCGGCGUCAUACUCCGCGACAUCGGUAGCCGAAUUCUUUGUUAAACAGGUCAUCCGACUUCAUGGCAUCCUGCGGACGAUAGUCAGUGACCUGGAUAAGAUCUUCUUGAGUCGAUUUUGGAAGGAAUUGUUCAAGAUGAGUGGAACGAUGCUGAAAUUGUCAUCAGCGUACCAUCCGGAAACCGACGGCCAAACCGAAAAUGUGAAUAAAGUCAUAGAGUCAUAUCUACGAUCCACCGUCCAGGAGAACCCAAAGAACUGGAGAUAACUACUCCCCUGGGCCAAACUGUAGUACAAUACAUCGUACCACCACAGUUUAGGCACUUCGCCGUUCCAGAUUCUAUAUGGACGGCCACCACUAACAUUUGCGUCCUAUGUAGCAGGGGACUCGUUAGUAGAAGCAGUAGACCAGGAGCUACGGAAGAGGCAACAAGUAAUUAACGAACUCCAGGAACACCUACUAGGAGCGAGCACAACAACGAAUGAAGUACUAUGUCGAUCUUAAACGAUCGCCCCAGGAGUUCGAGGAAGGGGACUGGGUAUGGUUAUGACUCCGGCCAUAUCGUCAACAUUCAGUAGAAAGGAGAACGUGCACGAAAUUAAGCGGGCGAUACUACGAGCCAUUCCAAGUAAUAAAGAAAAAUAACAACGUAGCCUAUAGAUUAGCGUUACCGGAGGGGUGUACCAUAAUCCCAGUAUUUCACGCGUCCCUGCUCAAGGCAUUUGUGGGGAAUCUAGAAGACAGCAUUACGGCCAAACUACCAAAACUAACCGACAACGCACACCCGAUUAUAGCGCUGCAUUCAAUCGAAGGAUACCGAAUUGUAUCCAUCAGAGGGAAGAAGGUAGAACAGGUCUUUGUCAAGUGGGAAGGAUUACCAGAAGAAGAAAGAACUUGGGAACAAUUAACAACCAUAGCACGACGAUCCCAAGAGUAACCUUGAAGACAAGGUUCGGUCCGUAGGGGUUGGUGAUGUAACAGUAAUACUUAAUAAGGACCAGGUACAGAUGCAACUACGACGCGAUCUGAGAUUAGAAGACGAAAACGAUGAUGUAGAAGAAGAAGAGAACGAAUGGGUUACUGAAGACCCAGAACCAGGCCGGCCAGCCAGGCAACGUCGUUCAACCCAAAAACCAGAAUUUACUUAUGAUUAGUUUAAUACAUAAACAAGUGUAAACCAACUCAACCGAAUUCAGUUACAAUUUAGCUAUAAAUAAACAAGUUGAAGAAUGAACAGAUGAUCCAAGUUUGCAGAUACUCAACUUCUUACUCUCGGCUCCGAUCUGGAGAAAUUCUCUUCUCAUAUCCGGCCCCAAUUGGGCCGGGAAUUCUCUUCUUCUUCUCAGGCAACUCUAUCCGUCCCCUACACAGAUAUUACACAUCCUUUGACCGUUAUAAUCCGAGACAUCGAGAAAAACAACAUCACCGCAAUGCCACUGCAAAGUCUGUUCACCACCACACCGAUUGCCAUCCCCUGUGCUCUAACUCUCAACGGAAAAAUCUCCGAUGAUAGAACCCAGGAGAACAGUUAGGCAGCAAGACCCAAACCCAAUCUGUUUGCAGUUCCAACAGCAAUGAAACUCACUCCUAAAGCUCCUCAAUCCAUCACACACCAAUCUCAACGGCAAAUGCACCCAGUUCCGAUCUCGCCCACUCCACCUCUCCGCCCUCUUAAAACUCGUCUCUCUCGUGGACCGCGACCUCAUCGCUCUAGGUUCAAAGACCCGUGUUUGAAAAUAUCCAAUGACAUUACUGAAAUUUUUGAUUAAUUAUAAGGAUAAAAUGGUCCAAAAAUUAUUAGGUGGUUAGUUUUAAACUCUAAUGAAUCUUAGGUGGGUACUUUUAUAAUUAUCCCUAAAAUAAAUAGUACAUCAUAAAGUCAUAAACAUACUUUUUCCCAGAGAAAUCUGAAAUAAUUGUCAUUUCUAUGACAGAAAAUUUUAAGAGAGAGAUUGAAAGUGUUUGGACGGUUGAGUUACAAUUUGCAUUUUUUUUAUUUCAAUCGAAAACCAAGAUCACACAAGUUUUUUUUUUGACUUGCAUCUUAAAACUUUCUUCUAAAUAUUUAUAAUUUAUUUCAGGGAUCUAGAACGUGAAAUGAUAAAAAAUUGAAUUAAAAAUGUGGAGAAUUUUAACUUACAGAGUACAAACCAAGAGUUUGGAUAUUUUAACUUACAAACUCCUUCAUGGACUGAUUCUUUGGAGAUCUAGAUCUAGACAUCUCUGUCUUGUGGUAGUGGUUGGUGAGUUCUUGUUUAUUUUUUCUUCUCCUUUUAUUUUUUGUAUUUGGGGAUUUUUUUUGAAGCAGAUUUUUUUUGUUUGUCAUAUAAUCUAAAUCACAGAUCCAUUGACAUUCCUAAAAAUAAAUUUGAGAAUCUGAAGAUGAUGCGGCAUGCAGUCUGCAUUCCAUUUCCAGCACAGGGACAUUUGAAACCCAUGCUCAAACUUGCAUUGAUUCUUCACUCCAAAGGAUUCCACAUCACUUACGUUCAUUCAGAUUACAACCGCCGACGUAUUCUCAAAUCAAGAGGUCCGACCUCCCUUGAUGGGUUGCCACAUUUUCGAUACGAAACAUUCUCAGAUGGGCUUCCAUUGUCUGACGUCUUUGACUGCACCCAAGACACCCUAUCCUUGUGUCAAUCCAUUAAAGAAAAUGGUCCCCAACAUUUCCGCAACCUCAUUGCCAAACUCAACCAAACUUCUCUUUCAGAUGUUCCGCCCGUAACUUGCAUCAUCUCCGAUGGCUGUAUGGCCUUCACACUUGAUGUUGCCGAGGAGAUGGGUAUUCCUGAGUUAUUGUUUUGGACAAACAGUCCUUGUGGCGUCAGGUGUUUUCUUGAGUAUAAUCAUCUCGUAGAGAAGGGUAUUUUGUCACUCAAAGGUAUGUAUGAGUAAACAAACUAUAAAUUGAAUCAAUGAAAUGCAGAAUUACAUCGAAUUUGGUCUGCAGAUGAGAGCUAUCUUGUAGAUGGACAUCUCGAAACAACUGUAGAUUGCAUAAAUGGAAUGAGUGAUAUUCGUCUGAAGGAUAUGCCAAGUCACAUUAACAAUCCUUUUAUGGUUAAGUAUGUGAUUAGUGAGACCAAUAGAGCAUCAAAGGCCAGAUCUAUAAUUCUAAACACCUUCUACGAUCUAGAUCAUUCGAUUCUUGACUCUAUGAAGCUGUUUUUCCCUCCCAUAUACGAGAUUGGUCCCUUGGAUCUUCUUUACAAUCAGAUGAUACAAAAAGACAAGCAGAAUGAUGUUGGAUGUUCCAUGGGAUCCAAUCUUUGGAAGGAGGACUCUAAAUGUUCGGAAUGGUUGGAUACAAAACCAGUUGGGUCGAUUUUAUAUGUCAAUUUCGGAAGCGUCACAGUGAUGACAACCCAACAGAUGAUUGAGUUUGCAUGGGGACUCUGUAAUAGCAAUAAAGAAUUCCUAUGGAUCAUCAGACCUGAUGUUGUUAGAGGCGAAACUGCUGUAUUGCCAGAAGAUUUCUUGGAGAUGACAAAAGGGACAAGUAUGAUGACUAGUUGGUGCUCACAGGAAGAUGUCCUUUCACAUCCAGCCAUUGGUGGAUUUCUAACUCAUUGUGGUUGG
Molecule: long non-coding RNA, 29876 nt
Filed under: Zostera marina
Lineage: Eukaryota; Viridiplantae; Streptophyta; Magnoliopsida; Alismatales; Zosteraceae
Description: long non-coding RNA (ZMAR_LNC003520)
Source: RNAcentral